RNAcentral lists this ribosomal RNA (514 nucleotides) under bacterium enrichment culture clone ALO1_GLFRUDD03G2LCK. RNAcentral's name for it is "bacterial SSU rRNA". It matches the Rfam family "Bacterial small subunit ribosomal RNA", at positions 9 to 517 of the family's 1533-position model. The record is from RNAcentral.
GAGUUUGAUCGUGGCUCAGAUUGAACGCUGGCGGCAGGCCUAACACAUGCAAGUCGAGCGGAUGACGGGAGCUUGCUCCUUGAUUCAGCGGCGGACGGGUGAGUAAUGCCUAGGAAUCUGCCUGGUAGUGGGGGACAACGUUUCGAAAGGAACGCUAAUACCGCAUACGUCCUACGGGAGAAAGCAGGGGACCUUCGGGCCUUGCGCUAUCAGAUGAGCCUAGGUCGGAUUAGCUAGUUGGUGGGGUAAUGGCUCACCAAGGCGACGAUCCGUAACUGGUCUGAGAGGAUGAUCAGUCACACUGGAACUGAGACACGGUCCAGACUCCUACGGGAGGCAGCAGUGGGGAAUAUUGGACAAUGGGCGAAAGCCUGAUCCAGCCAUGCCGCGUGUGUGAAGAAGGUCUUCGGAUUGUAAAGCACUUUAAGUUGGGAGGAAGGGCAGGUUACCUAAUACGUGAUUGUUUUGACGUUACCGACAGAAUAAGCACCGGCUAACUCUGUGCCAGCAGCCG